RNAcentral lists this ribosomal RNA (484 nucleotides) under uncultured bacterium. RNAcentral's name for it is "partial 16S ribosomal RNA". It matches the Rfam family "Bacterial small subunit ribosomal RNA", at positions 30 to 507 of the family's 1533-position model. The record is from RNAcentral.
AUUGAACGCUGGCGGCAGGCCUAACACAUGCAAGUCGAGCGGAUGAAGGGAGCUUGCUCCUGGAUUCAGCGGCGGACGGGUGAGUAAUGCCUAGGAAUCUGCCUGGUAGUGGGGGAUAACGUCCGGAAACGGGCGCUAAUAACGCAUACGUCCUGAGGGAGAAAGUGGGGGAUCUUCGGACCUCACGCUAUCAGAUGAGCCUAGGUCGGAUUAGCUAGUUGGUGGGGUAAAGGCCUACCAAGGCGACGAUCCGUAACUGGUCUGAGAGGAUGAUCAGUCACACUGGAACUGAGACACGGUCCAGACUCCUACGGGAGGCCGCAGUGGGGAAUAUUGGACGAUGGGCGAAAGCCUGAUCCAGCCAUGCCGCGUGUGUGAAGAAGGUCUUCGGAUUGUAAAGCACUUUAAGUUGGGAGGAAGGGCAGUAAGUUAAUACCUUGCUGUUUUGACGUUACCAACAGAAUAAGCACCGGCUAACUUCGUG